UUUUGCAAAUAGGAUUUUGAAGUUCUAUUAAAUUACUUAAUAAACUGCACUUAAUUGUGUAGUUAUGUAUUUUAAUUGCUUCAGUCGUUACUUUGAGGAAAUUAGUGUGUUCCAAGCGUGCUUUAUGCCACGAAUAUAUUAGCAUGGAAUGACAACAUAGGUAUGCAUCUAUUUUAUUGGUUAAUUUAUGUAUACAUAUGGUUAAUAGGAACAAUUGGGGGCAUUCGUACUUAACCGUCAGAGGUGAAAUUCUUAGAUUUGUUAAAGACGAACUACUGCGAAAGCAUUUACCAAGGAUGUUUUUGUUGAUCAAGAACGAAAGUUAAGGGAUCGAAGACGAUCAGAUACCGUCCUAGUCUUAACCAUAAACUAUGCCGACUAGAGAUUGGAGGCCGUUUAAUCAUAUGACUCUUUCAGCACCUUAUGAGAAAUCAAAGUCUUUGGGUUCCGGGGGGAGUAUGGUCGCAAGGCUGAAACUUAAAGGAAUUGACGGAAGGGCACCACCUUUGGGUUCCGGGGGGAGUAUGGUCGCAAGGCUGAAACUUAAAGGAAUUGACGGAAGGGCACCACCAGGAGUGGAGCCUGCGGCUCAAUUUGACUCAACACGGGAAAACUUACCAGUCCAGA
RNAcentral lists this ribosomal RNA (627 nucleotides) under uncultured marine eukaryote. RNAcentral's name for it is "bacterial SSU rRNA". It matches the Rfam family "Eukaryotic small subunit ribosomal RNA", at positions 665 to 1227 of the family's 1831-position model. The record is from RNAcentral.